AACGAACGCUGGCGGCAUGCUUAACACAUGCAAGUCGAACGAGAACUCCGGGUCUAGUGGCGCAGGGGUGCGUAACGCGUGGGAACCUGCCCUUAGGUUCGGAAUAACUCCCCGAAAGGGGUGCUAAUACCGGAUAAUGUCUUCGGACCAAAGAUUUCUCGCCUUUGGAUGGGGCCGCGUUGGAUUAGCUAGUUGGUAGGGUAAAAGCCUACCAAGGCGACGAUCCUUAGCUGGUCUGAGAGGAUGAUCAGCCACACUGGGACUGAGACACGGCCCAGACUCCGACGGGGGGCAGCAGUGGGGAAUAUUGUACAAUGGACGCAAGCCUGGUCCAGCCGUGCCGCGUGAGUGAUGAAGGCCUUAGGAUUGUAAAUCUCUUUUACCCGAGAUGAUAAUGACGGUACCGGGAGAAGAAGCACCGGCUAACUCCGUG
RNAcentral lists this ribosomal RNA (433 nucleotides) under uncultured bacterium. RNAcentral's name for it is "partial 16S ribosomal RNA". It matches the Rfam family "Bacterial small subunit ribosomal RNA", at positions 29 to 507 of the family's 1533-position model. The record is from RNAcentral.